CCUACGGGAGGCAGCAGUGGGGAAUAUUGCACAAUGGGCGAAAGCCUGAUGCAGCAACGCCGCGUGAGCGAUGAAGGCCUUCGGGUCGUAAAGCUCUGUCCUCAAGGAAGAUAAUGACGGUACUUGAGGAGGAAGCCCCGGCUAACUACGUGCCAGCAGCCGCGGUAAUACGUAGGGGGCUAGCGUUAUCCGGAAUUACUGG
Molecule: ribosomal RNA, 202 nt
Filed under: uncultured bacterium
Lineage: Bacteria
Description: partial 16S ribosomal RNA
Rfam family: Bacterial small subunit ribosomal RNA
Source: RNAcentral